This 4190-nucleotide long non-coding RNA is filed under the name Cucumis sativus (cucumber). RNAcentral describes it as "long non-coding RNA (CSAT_LNC000484)". The record is from RNAcentral. Lineage: Eukaryota; Viridiplantae; Streptophyta; Magnoliopsida; Cucurbitales; Cucurbitaceae.
GGCAUGUCCCUUUCAUAACUCUUCCUAUCCUUCCUUAACAAUGUGUAUAAAUUGAGAUUAUAGAAACUCUCAAUCCCUAAUCAUUAGAGGUUAAGACCAGCAAUCCCAAUGCACCAAUAAGUAUGUACUGCAAUAACAACGAAACAGAGUGAGUUGAAUCAAACCAUCCAAAAUUGGAUUUAAAAGUAAAUUCUCUUUUUGGGGAUAAAAAGAAAAAAGACAACCAUAUGCCCACCUAGACAGUCUUUUGGUUAUUCUUUCUUCCUCUUUUUUUCCAACAAAACUCAUAUCUCAGGUGUAAAAUUGUAACAUCAUGAAAUCUAAACUAAAUUGAAACUGAAUUAUAUGUAACAUUUUGAACCUAUGAAUCAAAUAUAAACAAUAAGGUAUUUUUCGCUAAUUAUGAAAUCAAGCAAGAUGAGGACUUGUAAGUUUUCAACAAGUUCAAACCUUGAUUAUAGGCAUGUCUGUCAUGAUAAUUGUUGCAUAUCCAACAUAUGGCAAGAAACUGCAAACGAAGAAUAAAAAUGUUAGAGCAAGAGGACUGUCUAUUUCUUUCCCUAUUUCUAAACAGCUUGUAUAAAAUAGAGCCUUCUAAUGCACAUCAAGCUGACGACUAUGGUUAGAAUUCGGAAAAUCAACAAGUAUAAGCAUGUUCAGGACUCGUUGAUUUAUCAAUAGUUCUUGCAAAUUUACCCGAUGGCUUUUCCCAUUAAGUGUUGUCUUUGCAACCAAAGCUGAUUCUCAGCAUAUAGUGGAAUAUCAUCAUAUUCAUUAUUGUCACCUGGAAGUUUAACACAAAAGAAACAAGCAAAGUUCAUCGUUAAACAUUCAGCAAAAUAAUUUCAUUCCAAUUCAAAACCAUAUCAUCCUCCCUUAACAAGUUUUUUGAACUUAUGGUUCAUGUUCAAGUACCUUUUGUAAGAAAAUAAACUUCUCCUGUAUCUUUGGUCUCAUGAACCUGAUAAGAAUUACAUUUUAUGUAAAUCAAAGUUACAGUUAAACAUCUAAAGUGUUUAAGCAAGGUUUAAAAUGGAUAUUUCUAAAAACAAUUAUAUAAACAAGCAAAUUAAUAUUAAAAUUAAGAAAAAGGUUUCGUUUUUUAAAUAAGUUGAAAGUUUAAAACACUUGCUAAUAACCUUGUGCACACAUUUUGUUGCUUAUUUUUUUAUGUUUCAUCGAUUUCUUUUGUGAUACAAUGGAAAUUUUGAUUCAUCCAUUAUGUGAAUGUCAUAUAAAGACAUUGUUAGAAAAUUAAUACACUAAUCUUAUCACGACUAUUGAUGACUUUUUUUCUUUAGAAACCAAGGAAAUUGAGAAUUUGUAGGGUGAGCUAAACUAUGACAAAUGAAGAUUUAUCUUUGUUUCUUUGCUAUAGGUCAACUUAUUUGCAAUAAGUUCAAGGGAACUUUAAGCAGUGGAAACAAAAUGGAAAUAUUGGACUUCUCCUUUCACAGGUAACUAAUGGCUUCCUGCUGAGCACUACAACUUCAUAAUUCUAAAAUGAAAUUGUGGCUGUGUUGAAAAAACCAUCUAGUGAAACAUAAAUUCCUUGAAUGAAACAAGAUAUCUCUAAUGAAAUAAGUUGUCUGCACACUUAGUACAAUGUAAAGAUAGAGAAAUUUUACUGAAAACCUUACCUUGAUUACACGAUGGACGAUUGGAAUGUCACGUCCCUGGCAAAUGCUACAAAGGGAUGUUAGUAGACAAUUUACAAAUGUUGGAAGUGACAUGAAAUAUGUUUAAAUUGAAAGCAACACUAACUAAUCAAAAAGGUUCUUCAUGUAUUUACGAUACGACAUAAUGUGUAAAUUAGAUUUUUCUAGAGUUAUGUUGAAAUAUGUGGAUUAUAAAUAAAUACCACAAAAGUAAGGUUCUAGAAGUGUUAUAACCUUUCUUUAGGCUCCAACCAAUUCGAGAAUUCUCUUCGAUAAUGGUUCGCUCAUAAAAGUAUCUUGAAUACAAUGGAUUCAAAAAAAGCCUAGAAUUUUUUUUUACUUGGGGUCCAAGGAUCUCAUGCUUAUAAAUGGGAGGCGUGUCUCUAUACAUAAGCCAAGCUAAAAAGUUAAACAAGUUUAGAGUGAGGAAAAGUGAGUGAGUGCUGAGAGAGUGAAAAAGUUUCUUUUACUUUCGUAAUAAUAGUUUCUUUCUUCCAAGUGUCUGUCUCUAUUCCUUUUGUGUUAAUUUCUUUAACAAUGUUAAACAAUUAACCCAAAAGAAGCCGUUUGAAGUUUAUAACUCCAAAACUUAUAAGUAAUAGACAACAUAAACUUCUCUAAACACAAACAGUGAUAUGAACGUGACCCAAAAUAUUGAAUGUUAAGACUUUGUUUAAUAAUCAUUUGGAUUUUUGUUUUUGAUUUUUAAAAGUUAAGCUUGUAAACACUAGUUCUACCUAUUGGUUCUUUUUUUUUAUUUAUCUAUUUUUAAGGAUAUUUUUAAAAUCCAGCCUUCAAAAACUAAAAAACUAUAUUUUUUAAAGCUCGCUUUAGUUCUUGAAAUCCAACUAUGAAUUUAAAUGCUUCCAUAGAAGAGAUGAAAGUCAUGGUAAAGAAAUUGUUAGGAAAAAAAUCAAAAUUUUCAACUGUCAAAUAGUUAACAAUGAGACUUAGAAGUUGCAAGUUACAAGGAAAGGAGUCGUAACUAGACCAAUAUAAAGAUUAUUCCCUUAUUCAAAGUCAAUUAGCAAUAAGAGGUGAACGAGGUAAAUCAUCAAUACAAAUCAAAGUAAGGAAAAGAAAUACUACCAUCUUUACAAAGAAGAGGAAACCUAUUCAUUCCCCUACCAGAAAAUGGAAUUCCAAGACAUUGCAAAAUCCAAAUUGCUUUCAUAACGAAAGACUAACUAUAACCAGUGUAGAAAUGUAUCACGUUAGCUCAUGAAAAAUGAGAGUAUGAGACGAGAGUUACCUCGAUGUUAUACACAACGAUUUCCCCUGUGCGAAUUGGAUCCUUGUUCAUGUGGAGGAAUAGAAUAUCGCCCUGCACCAGAUAAAACUCAUCAUAGGAAGCUAAACCAAAACUAUCAUAAGCUUUCCCCCAUUAGCUGUUAGCCACUGUGUACUAUCAGAUAUUCUAGCAGAGCUGGGUGAAUAUAAACCAAUAUGAAGCACUGGAGAAGUAUGAAUUAGGUUAAAUUACAAAGCCCCUCAACUUUGAGGUCUGUGUUGAAGUUUCAAAUUUUCAAAUUUAUUCUUUGAAUUUUGACAUAAAAUUCUAAUUUAUAUCUAAUAGAUCAAUUAACUUUUUGAAAGUUUCAAAUUUAGGAGGGAUCCAUAGACAUAAAAUUGAAAAUUCAAUGACCUAUUAAACAUUUUGAAAAUUCAAAAACCAAACCGACACAAACUUCAUAGUUUAGAGACAAAACUUGUGAUUUAACCUUUUGAAUUAAUAUUCUACCCCAGUAACAUAAUCAACUAAAAAGCUAGAGUCUAAUAUUUAAGAACCAAAGUUUUUUUCUUUUCAUUUCAUUCCUUUUUCCUAAUAACAAGCUAUUGAGUCUUAGCAUUAUGUUCACAGGCAUGCCCUCCACAAAAUCCUAGAGAUUCGAAGCAAGUUCAAUCGACAAUAAAGUGUUUCAAGAUAAUAUGUUUUCAAUCUCAGACUAUCUAUAGUUCAUAGUUGUAAGAACGCGACUCCAACAAUGUCUGUUUCAUAUGGUGAGAUUCCAUAACAUCUAAGAUCCAAAAAAUCCACGGCACACGUGAUUUAAAUGUUGAUACAAAAGAUGAAAAAACUAAAAAUUUUAUAUAACGAAAGGCAGUUCUGUAUCGAUAGUUCAAGUAAAUGCAUAGUUAAAGUUAGAAUCAAUCGACUUAGGGAAUUAAUGGAAACUUGCAUAUGUAAUAGGAUCAGCUCACCCUAGCAAAACCAGGUUCCAUACUUCCAGUGAGUACAACCACCACAGGGGACACACUGCCUGUCCAGCAAAUCAGUCCUUUCCAAAUCAUCAACGCAGACGAAACGAUCAAACCUGAUAGAUUACGAUACUGUUCUUAGAGCAAAGGAAUGCAGAAGUCAAAUGCAUGUUGUAGUUGGAUUCCAGUACUUCGAAGUUUGAAUAGAAACAAAACACAGACAAAAUGAAGAUAUUUGAACUAAGAUUUUAAGCUCCGUGCUCAAAUUUUGUUAAAACUUGACAGUUGUAUCUAUUUAGUUCUGAAGUUAAAACACUCAUUUGUGCCUCUAAA